UUCUUGCCAACAUGCUGUACUAUGAACUACAGUCCAUACUAUGUUAUUCUUGAGUAAAGCAUACUAUACUUUGACAUUUUCUGAACUACAUCCUAUACUAUGGCGUUAUACACAGAGUGCUUUGGUUACAUGUUGAUUUAUAAUCUAGAUUUUUUUCUGUUUUGUUUUUUGACAGGAUUACCACAGACCUGACUGUGAACACUGUUGACACCCACCUGAGGGAGACGCUGCCUAAGAUCUCAAGGCUGCUUGGUCGUGGUCUUUCUGGCACUCAUGCACUGGAACAGGAAGCUGGGUGACAGUAACAGUGGAAGGAAAACUGAUGAAUCUCCCUGCAGUUCCAGUUAAAGACCUCAGCAGUGGAAGAACCCAAUCCUGGCUGGUCUUUGGCUCACUCAUUAGUUGCUUAGCAGUGCAUAUCUGUGUAUUUACCUCAUGAUUAAACCAUAAAUCUCCUUUCUCGUCAUGCAAACAGGUGAUUUUUGUGGAAAGACUCAUUUGGACUGAUUGAAGCGACUGUCUCUUCUGUGUGUCUGUCCAGGCGGUGUUUGUGGUCCAGUACUUUAAAAAGAGACCUUGACUUCCACAGAGUCGCUCAGAUGCUGGGACAGCCAACACCGACGAGGCUUCACCACAAAUCAACCACAACAUGGACAACAGUGACAAAUAUGUUGUCGCACAGACUCCUGGAUCCUGCACAGAAGUCACAUGACUAUGACCUCCACCCCCACAACAUGAUCAUGGGGGAGAUGGACCUUUGUAUUUUCAGCUCAUCGCCUUCUUCAUUUAAAGCUGCCUGCUGCUUUUAGUAGCAUUUGAAAAUUAAUCAACAAACACCACUUUAAUCAGGAGUAAUUACUGUAAAUGCAGCAACAAAAGCGGGAGGAGGAUGCUGUUCUCUCAGAAUGAAAUCUGGAAGGUGCACUUAAAAAAGCAAUGUGGUGUUUAUUUUGGCAAGAUCAGUGCUGUCCAAAGGUAGCUGUAGCAUUAAAUACGGUAUGAUAUCUUAGUACAAUGGUACAUGUAUAUAAUAUGUUAUGGCUAUUCUGUCAUUUAUAAAUGCAUCUUUAUUUAAACACUUGGAACUUCAGAUAUCAUAGAAUAUCGUACUAAUUGGUGAAUUAUAGGGACCUGAAGGGGAAAAUUGUGUAAAAUAAUGGAAGUACACUAAUGCUGGUUAUAUCUUUCGUGUGUGGUCAUAGUUUCCAUCCUCCUCUCUAAGCCAAUCAGCGUUCCAGACAGAAACAGCAUCUACAUCUAUUGUUCCAACAGCUAGUCAGAUUCUUUAGAAACAGGAGAUCUCUGCUGUCAUCUGGUGGUUCGGUGGCAUCAUGGCCAGUUUUGUAGCUUGCAUUAUUAGGACUGAAAGUGCGAAAACCCUGUUGAAACCCCGUGGUUUAUGUAUAAUUUUAGUCUUUUUGUCUGUUCAAAGGUGAAAAAAUCAGGAAACACUGACUUAGAGUGUUUUCUACAUUUUUUUCUACAGUGUAGAACUAAACUGAAGACAUCAGCACUGUGAAAUAACACAAAUAGAUUUAUGUAUAUUAUAUGAUAUUAAACAAAAUACUCGUGUGCUAUAUAACACUAUUUGUCUGUUUCAUUGAUGUCUUCAGUGUACACUUAGGAUGGAGGAGUGGCAUGUUUACUGGGAAUCUGGCAUCAUAAAUCCAAAAUGUAUGGUCAUAUUUUGCUUCUUUAUGGUCAUAUUUUGCCACUUUUUCAUCAAAUUUAGCCUGCUUAUGGUCACAUUUAUCUUUUUUUUUGGUCAUGCUUUGACCAUUUCACGUCUUCAGCAUACACUUUAAAACAUUUUUUUUUAAAAAAAAAGGUAAACCCUUGAAUUUUCUUCCUCUUUUCUCCCAUAACGCUGUUUUCUGUGUUUUCUUGUCUGUGAGGAUUUGUCAUGUUUGUGAAUUACUUCAAACUGACAGGCCAGCAAAGAGAUUAUUGAUUUCUGAUAUAUUUACUGUGUUUUAUCUCUCAUAUAAUGUCCCAGGAUACUUUCUCUACUGUAAGAGGUUAUACUGUUUGUUUAAAUAGGGACAGAAUUACUAUAAAUUGUAUAGUUUUAUUGAUCAAUAACUUGCAUCUGUC
Long non-coding RNA from Amphiprion ocellaris (clown anemonefish), 2094 nucleotides. Lineage: Eukaryota; Metazoa; Chordata; Actinopteri; Pomacentridae. The record is from Ensembl.